CCAGCUAGACCACUGGGUUGAUAGGCCAGAGGUGGAAGACCGGUAACGGUUGGAGCUGACUGGUACUAAUAGGCCGAGGACUUGUUAC
RNAcentral lists this ribosomal RNA (88 nucleotides) under Lentzea albidocapillata subsp. violacea. RNAcentral's name for it is "Lentzea violacea 23S rRNA. Bacterial LSU". It matches the Rfam family "Bacterial large subunit ribosomal RNA", at positions 2837 to 2925 of the family's 2925-position model. Lineage: Bacteria; Bacillati; Actinomycetota; Actinomycetes; Pseudonocardiales; Pseudonocardiaceae. The record is from RNAcentral.